RNAcentral lists this ribosomal RNA (464 nucleotides) under uncultured bacterium. Its description in RNAcentral is "bacterial SSU rRNA". It matches the Rfam family "Bacterial small subunit ribosomal RNA", at positions 64 to 524 of the family's 1533-position model. The record is from RNAcentral.
GAGCGGACAUCUUCGGAUGUUAGCGGCGGACGGGUGAGUAACACGUGGGCAAUCUGCCUGACAGACUGGAAUAACGCCUGGAAACGGGUGCUAAUGCCAGAUAGCGCAGCGGGUAGGCAUCUACCAGCUGGGAAAGGUGCUACGGCACUACUGUCAGAGGAGCCCGCGGCGCAUUAGCUAGUUGGUGAGGUAACGGCCCACCAAGGCGACGAUGCGUAGCCGACCUGAGAGGGUGACCGGCCACACUGGGACUGAGACACGGCCCAGACUCCUACGGGAGGCAGCAGUAGGGAAUCUUCCGCAAUGGGCGAAAGCCUGACGGAGCAACGCCGCGUGAGCGAAGAAGGCCUUCGGGUUGUAAAGCUCAGUCACCCGAGAAGAGCGAAUCGGAGAGGGAAUGCUCCGAUUGAGACGGUACCGGGAGAGGAAGCCCCGGCUAACUACGUGCCAGCAGCCGCGGUAAU